This 66-nucleotide small RNA is filed under the name Tumebacillus algifaecis. Its description in RNAcentral is "Bacillaceae-1 RNA". It matches the Rfam family "Bacillaceae-1 RNA". The record is from Rfam by way of RNAcentral. Lineage: Bacteria; Bacillati; Bacillota; Bacilli; Caryophanales; Alicyclobacillaceae.
CGCGGUGGUAGCUCAACGAAGAACGCGACGUCCUGUCGCAACGUUGGACAAUGAACAUCCUGUUCU